Molecule: ribosomal RNA, 346 nt
Filed under: uncultured bacterium
Lineage: Bacteria
Description: partial 16S ribosomal RNA
Rfam family: Bacterial small subunit ribosomal RNA
Source: RNAcentral
CCUACGGGAGGCAGCAGUGAGGAAUAUUGGUCAAUGGACGAGAGUCUGAACCAGCCAAGUAGCGUGAAGGAUGACUGCCCUAUGGGUUGUAAACUUCUGUUAUAGGGGAAUAAAAUGUGCCACGGGUGGGAUUUUGUAUGUACCAUAUGAAUAAGGAUCGGCUAACUCCGUGCCAGCAGCCGCGGUAAUACGGAGGAUCCGAGCGUGAUCCGGAUUUAUUGGGGUGACAGGGAGCGUAGGUGGAUUGUUAAGUCAGUUGUGAAAGUUUGCGGCUCCACCGUAAAAUUUCAGUUGAAACUGGCAGUCUUGAGUACAGUAGCGGUGGGCGUACUUCGUUGUGUAGCGG